This is a non-coding RNA of Ameiurus melas (black bullhead), 72 nucleotides long. The record is from the annotation of a GenBank genome assembly. NCBI's taxonomy places the organism in Eukaryota, Metazoa, Chordata, Actinopteri, Siluriformes, Ictaluridae.
GGCUUGAUGGUCUACGGGUACGAUUCUAAUUUUGGGUGACAGUGGUCCCGGGUUGAAAUCCCUGAUGAGCCC